GAGAAAACUCGCAAGGACUGCUAACCCAUGCCUCCAUACUUAAAACUAUGGCUUUCUCA
This 59-nucleotide transfer RNA is filed under the name Cercopithecus albogularis moloneyi. Its description in RNAcentral is "tRNA-Ser". The record is from RNAcentral. Lineage: Eukaryota; Metazoa; Chordata; Mammalia; Primates; Cercopithecidae.